Molecule: non-coding RNA, 76 nt
Filed under: Caenorhabditis japonica
Lineage: Eukaryota; Metazoa; Nematoda; Chromadorea; Rhabditida; Rhabditidae
Description: Eukaryotic small subunit ribosomal RNA
Rfam family: Eukaryotic small subunit ribosomal RNA
Source: Rfam by way of RNAcentral
UACCUGAUUGAUUCUGUCAGCGUCGAUAUGCUCAAGUAAAAGAUUAAGCCAUGCAUGCUUUGAUUCAUAAAUGAAA